AGGGUCUACUAGCACACUUUUACAACCUGCACUAUGCUAAAGUAAAUGUUCUGUUUAGUUUCCAUGCUUUUUCCUAUUCUUCCUAUGGUGAAAAGGAAGAAGAAGAGGCAUGAACAAGCCUUCAGCACCCAGGGUAGCAAACUGAUGGCUGCUAUUGUUACUGUUCCCGAUAGAGUUGGAUGAGCUUCGUCUUCCAGAAGAGAGGUGUUGGGUUUUAGCAGCUCAGUUAUCUUAUCCCUGUGGCUAUCUUCUCACUCUCCACGAAGCUGCAGCCGUGGGAAUGCUUGCUUUUGACAUAGAGAAACUUUCCGACCAAGAAGCUGUCAAAACUUUGUGAUGUUGCAGAUGAAGAAGAUGAUAUCGGAUGCAAAAGAUCAGAGGUUGGUUUCUUUGCUUGUACUCAUCAGAUGGCGCUUGAAAGGUUUCUAUGGUUCUGAUCAUAAGAUCUUGAAGUGAAAACAAGCUUAAUAUGCUUCUUGAAUAUGUUAUCAUAAGAUCUUGAAGUGUGUUAAA
This is a long non-coding RNA of Musa acuminata AAA Group (dessert banana), 513 nucleotides long. RefSeq lists it as uncharacterized. NCBI's taxonomy places the organism in Eukaryota, Viridiplantae, Streptophyta, Magnoliopsida, Zingiberales, Musaceae. The record is from RefSeq and is a predicted model, not a curated record. The transcript has 3 exons.